RNAcentral lists this ribosomal RNA (458 nucleotides) under uncultured bacterium. RNAcentral's name for it is "partial 16S ribosomal RNA". It matches the Rfam family "Bacterial small subunit ribosomal RNA", at positions 338 to 795 of the family's 1533-position model. The record is from RNAcentral.
CCUACGGGAGGCUGCAGUGGGGAAUAUUGCACAAUGGGGGCAACCCUGAUGCAGUGACGCCGCGUGAGGGAAGAAGUAUUUCGGGAUGUAAAGUUCUAUCAGCAGGGAAGAAAUAGCGACCUUUGGGUCGCCAGACGGUACCUGACUAAGACGCCCCGGCUAACUACGUGACAGCAGCCGCGGUAAUACGUAGGGGGCAAGCGUUAUCCGGAUUUACUGGGGGUAAAGGGAGUGUAGACGGGAGCACAAGUAUGAAGUGAAAUGUCGGGGCUUAACCCCGGAACUGCUUUGGAAACUGUGCAGCUAGAGUGCUGGAGAGGGAAGUGGAAUUCCUAGUGUAGCGGUGAAAUGCGUAGAUAUUAGGAGGAACACCAGUGGCGAAGGCGGCUUACUGGACUGUAACUGACGUUGAGGCUCGAAAGCGUGGGGAGCAAACAGGAUUAGAUACCCUUGUAGUC